CCGAGUUUACAACUCCCAAACCCAUGUGAACAUACCUAUUGUUGCUUCGGCGGGUUGCCCUCGGGCGCCCGUCGGGGACCCCAAACUCUUGCUUUUAUAACUGAAAUUCUGAGUGGCCGCAAGGCAAAACAAUAAAUUA
This 139-nucleotide unclassified non-coding RNA is filed under the name soil metagenome. RNAcentral describes it as "partial internal transcribed spacer 1". The record is from RNAcentral.